This is a long non-coding RNA of Salvia miltiorrhiza (redroot sage), 650 nucleotides long. RefSeq lists it as uncharacterized. The transcript is spliced from 3 exons. Lineage: Eukaryota; Viridiplantae; Streptophyta; Magnoliopsida; Lamiales; Lamiaceae. The record is from RefSeq and is a predicted model, not a curated record.
AUAACACUUAAUUAAUUGGGAAUUAGUUGGACUAUUGGACCUAUUAAUUGGAGUAGGAUUGACUUCCUUAGUAAGACACCUCUUUGGCUUAUAAGAGAAGCCAACUCUUUGGCUUACAAGGUAAGCCAAUUCUUUUGGCCUAUAAGUAAGAGUUCUUGGUCUUACUAGAAGAAGCUUUUGCUUGCAAAACACUAAGAGAGCACUAUAGUUUCAAUCGAAGAUUUCCUAGCUGUCGAAGAUUGAAUCGUGCACUUGGAAUUGUUCCUGCAUCGAAUCGACAUACACGUGGAUACCUUAGUAGUGGAUUCACGACAAGAAUCGAGACGCACGCUUACCACACAACGAAUGAUGUCAAGGACAACCAACAAUAAGAGCAACUGAAACGCAAGCAAAUACGAAAAUGGAAGUGAUGUCCUCUCUCUUCUCUCGCUUGUCUCUUCCGAACCCUUCCCGUUAAUUUAUGGAAGGGUUCGGAAGAGACAAGGGGAGAGAUGAGAGAGGCAGAGGAGGAUCUGUAGCGACGAAAACGAGCUAAUGGCUCAGCUAGAGGCAACGAUGCAACGUAUUCUUGUCAUCGGCAUGGCUACGGCGACGGUGGCUUCGCCAUCAUUGGCGGUGGUGCUCAAGAAAUAUAAAUAUGGACGGAUGAG